Molecule: ribosomal RNA, 408 nt
Filed under: Plakobranchus ocellatus
Lineage: Eukaryota; Metazoa; Mollusca; Gastropoda; Plakobranchidae
Description: partial 16S ribosomal RNA
Rfam family: Archaeal large subunit ribosomal RNA
Source: RNAcentral
AGCUUUAAGUUUUAUUUAAAGUGAGACCUGCCCAGGGGUAAUUAGUAAACGGCCGCAGUACCGGGGCUGUGCUAAGGUAGCAUAAUCAGUUGGCUUUUAAAUGGAGUCGGGAAGGAAGGGAUUAAUAGGGUUAAGCUGUCUCUAGUAUAUUAAAUUGAAUUUGCUUAUUAGGUGAAAAUGCCUAAGUUGUAAAAGAAAAAAGACGAGAAGACCCUAGGAGUUUUAACUAGAUGCUAUUUAUUAUAGUUAAGGGUUUUGUUGGGGCGGCAUUGGAACAAUUUUAAACUUCCUUUAUGUUUAUAGGCCGACUGUGUAUGUAAAUCUAAACUACCCUAGGGAUAACAGCGUAAUUCUUUUUGAGCUUGCGACCUCGAUGUUGGACUAGGAAUUGGGUGGGCUAGCCGCCUA